The sequence is a non-coding RNA, 190 nucleotides long. It matches the Rfam family "6S / SsrS RNA". From Rfam's summary of the family: E. coli 6S RNA was the first non coding RNA to be sequenced, but its function was unknown until recently. It consists of 184 nucleotides that fold into an extended hairpin structure with a large single-stranded internal bulge.
UAUUUUCUGCGCUGUUCGUGGAAUUUGCCAUUUAAAACCCACAUUUAUUAAAAGGGAUGCCAUAUUCUCCUGUGGAUUGCAGGCCUCCCGGCAAUGCCGGAUGUUGGAAGCUAUGAAUCAGGGGAGAGGCGACCCACCUGCCGUUAGCGUGCAGGUUAUAAAUCGGCACCACGGCAGAUGCGGGGAAGUC